RNAcentral lists this ribosomal RNA (253 nucleotides) under uncultured bacterium. Its description in RNAcentral is "partial 16S ribosomal RNA". It matches the Rfam family "Bacterial small subunit ribosomal RNA", at positions 524 to 776 of the family's 1533-position model. The record is from RNAcentral.
UACGUAGGGUGCAAGCGUUAAUCGGAAUUACUGGGCGUAAAGCGUGCGCAGGCGGCUAUGCAAGACAGAUGUGAAAUCCCCGGGCUCAACCUGGGAACUGCAUUUGUGACUGCACGGCUAGAGUGUGUCAGAGGGGGGUAGAAUUCCACGUGUAGCAGUGAAAUGCGUAGAUAUGUGGAGGAAUACCGAUGGCGAAGGCAGCCCCCUGGGAUAACACUGACGCUCAUGCACGAAAGCGUGGGGAGCAAACAGG